This 1413-nucleotide ribosomal RNA is filed under the name metagenome. Its description in RNAcentral is "bacterial SSU rRNA". It matches the Rfam family "Bacterial small subunit ribosomal RNA". The record is from RNAcentral.
AAACGAGGCGUCACCCUUCGGGGUGGCUCCUAGUGGCGGACGGCUGAGUAACGCGUGAGCGACCUGCCCUAAUGUGGGGGAUAACUCCGAGAAAUCGGAGCUAAUACCGCAUGUGCCCCGCUCCAUGGACGGUGCGGGGGAAAGGUCCGGGGUAACCCGGUUCCGCUUUUGGAGGGGCUCGCGUCCUAUCAGGUAGUUGGUGAGGUAACGGCUCACCAAGCCAGAGACGGGUAGCUGGUGUGAGAGCAUGACCAGCCAGAGGGGGACUGAGACACGGCCCCCACUCCUACGGAAGGCAGCAGCAGGGAAUCUUGCACAAUGGGCGAAAGCCUGAUGCAGCGACGCCGCGUGAGGGAAGAAGGCUCUAGGGUCGUAAACCUCUUUUCUCAGGGAAGAGCAAGGACGGUACCUGAGGAAUAAGCCACGGCUAACUACGUGCCAGCAGCCGCGGUAAUACGUAGGUGGCGAGCGUUGUCCGGAACUAUUGGGCGUAAAGGGCUCGUAGGCGGUUCGGAAAGUCUCCUGUUAAAUCUCCCGGCUUAACUGGGAGCCGUCGGGGGAUACUUCCGGACUGGAGAUCAUCAGAGGCAAGCGGAAUUCCCGGUGUAGUGGUGAAAUGCGUAGAUAUCGGGAGGAACACCAGUGGCGAAAGCGGCUUGCUGGGGUGGUUCUACGCUGAGGGGCGAAAGCGUGGGGAGCAAACCGGAUUAGAUACCCGGGUAGUCCACGCCCUAAACGAUGGAUGCUGGGUUUGGGGGGUAUCGACCCCCUCCGAGCCGUAGCUAACGCGAUAAGCAUCCCGCCUGGGGACUACGGCCGCAAGGCUAAAACUCAAAGGAAUUGACGGGCGCCCGCACAAGCAGCGGAGCGUGUGGUUUAAUUCGAUGCAAAGCGAAGAACCUUACCUGGGCUUGACAUGCUGGUGGUACCAACUCGAAAGGGAAGGGACCUGAAAGGGAGCCAGCACAGGUGCUGCAUGGUUGUCGUCAGCUCGUGCCGUGAGGUGUUGGGUUAAGUCCCGCAACGAGCGCAACCCUCGUGGCUAGUUGUUUUCUCUAGCCAGACUGCCCGAAAGGGAGGAAGGGGGGGAUGAGGUCAAAUCAUCAUGGCUCUUACGUCCAGGGCUACACACACGCUACAAUGGUCGGUACAGACGGUCGCGAAGCCGCGAGGUGGAGCCAAUCCGACAAAGCCGGCCUCAGUUGGAAUUGCAGGCUGCAACCCGCCUGCAUGAACGCGGAGUUGCUAGUAACCGCAGGUCAGCAUACUGCGGUGAAUACGUUCCCGGGCGUUGUACACACCGCCCGUCACGUCAUGGAAGUUGGCAACACCUGAAGUCACUGGGCUAACCCCUUCGGGGGAGGCAGGUGCCGAGGGUGGGGCUGAUGACUGGGACGAAGUCGAAACAAGGUA